Oncorhynchus tshawytscha (Chinook salmon) is the source of this 648-nucleotide long non-coding RNA. Lineage: Eukaryota; Metazoa; Chordata; Actinopteri; Salmoniformes; Salmonidae. The record is from Ensembl.
GUUUGGGACAGGUAUAGCUGUGUAGAGUGUUCAGUGUUUGGGACAGUUAUAGCUGUGUAGAGUGUUCAGUGUUUGGGACAGGUAUAGCUGUGUAGAGUGUUCAGUGUUUGGGACAGUUAUAGCUGUGUAGAGUGUUCAGUGUUUGGGACAGGUAUAGCUGUGUAGAGUGUUCAGUGUUUGGGACAGGUAUAGCUUGUGUAGAGUGUUCAGUGUUUGGGACAGGUAUAGCUUGUGUAGAGUGUUCAGUGUUUGGGACAGGUAUAGCUUGUGUAGAGUCUAGAAACUCUAUUCUUAGUUUUUCUUCUGUAAUGUGAUUAUUCAUGUACCAUUUGGGUGUGUUUGUCAGUCCGCUGCUGGCGGUUUUUUGACCUUACCCGUCAUGUGACCUCAGUAAACAAAAAGUUUGGUUUCUCCAGUAAAGAACAUCAUGUUUGAUUCUGCAUACGGGAGAGCCACUUCAAAACGAGGUGAUUUUCGUUGGAGCAGGUCAGGAGAGCUAACCUUUUUCAUAAACUUAAACCUCAUUCUCCUAACCUGCUGUGUUUAUUCUCCUAACCUGCUGCGUAAGUUCUCCUAACCUGCUGUGUUUAUUCUCCUAACCUGCUGUGUUUAUUCUCCUAACCUGCUGUGUUUAUUCUCCUAACCUGC